Molecule: ribosomal RNA, 253 nt
Filed under: uncultured bacterium
Lineage: Bacteria
Description: partial 16S ribosomal RNA
Rfam family: Bacterial small subunit ribosomal RNA
Source: RNAcentral
GACGAACCGUGCAAACGUUAUUCGGAAUCACUGGGCUUAAAGCGUGCGUAGGCGGCUAAGAAAGUUGGGUGUGAAAUCCCUCGGCUCAACCGAGGAAUUGCGCUCAAAACUACUUAGCUUGAGGGAGUUAGAGGUGAGCGGAACUAAUGGUGGAGCGGUGAAAUGCGUUGAUAUCAUUAGGAACACCGGUGGCGAAAGCGGCUCACUGGGACUCUUCUGACGCUGAGGCGCGAAAGCUAGGGGAGCAAACGGG